CGGCUCAUGGAUCGAUGAAGACCGCAGCUAAAUGCGCGUCAUAAUGUGAACUGCAGGACACAUGAACAUUGAUAAGUUGAACGCAUAUGGCGCAUCGGACGUUUAAUCCCGACCGAUGCACACAUUCUUGAGUGCCUACUAAUUACCAAAGUCUCAUUUAG
This 161-nucleotide ribosomal RNA is filed under the name Anopheles arabiensis. RNAcentral describes it as "5.8S ribosomal RNA". The stretch from base 2 to 137 matches the Rfam family "5.8S ribosomal RNA", at positions 23 to 154 of the family's 154-position model. Rfam says of the family: 5.8S ribosomal RNA (5.8S rRNA) is a component of the large subunit of the eukaryotic ribosome. It is transcribed by RNA polymerase I as part of the 45S precursor that also contains 18S and 28S rRNA. Lineage: Eukaryota; Metazoa; Arthropoda; Insecta; Diptera; Culicidae. The record is from RNAcentral.